GGGUUAGAUUAUACUAACCCAAAUGCACCAGAUCCCAUCAAAACCCCGUAGUUAAGCGUGCUUGGGUGAGAGCAGUACUACGAUGGGUGAUCUCCUGGGAAGCCCUCGUGUUGCACCGC
Molecule: ribosomal RNA, 119 nt
Filed under: Gossypium arboreum
Lineage: Eukaryota; Viridiplantae; Streptophyta; Magnoliopsida; Malvales; Malvaceae
Source: RNAcentral